ACGCGCGAAAGGAGGUGGUCCUAACCAAUGGUUGCUUGUAGGACUCGCGAGGUGACUGUCCGCUAGUCGCCGUUCCGCCUCGGAUCCUCCGCCCACUGGGCAGAGGUAGCCGGUCGCGACGGUGACCGGCGAAUACCAGGCAGUUACCCGGUCCCCGGACCGAUGGACCCGUCCUGUCCGUCGCCCCGCCACCCGGCGGGAAGGUCCGGGGAUCGAUCAUG
RNAcentral lists this small RNA (221 nucleotides) under Actinomadura luteofluorescens. RNAcentral's name for it is "sRNA Ms_IGR-5". It matches the Rfam family "Actinobacteria sRNA Ms_IGR-5". The record is from RNAcentral. Lineage: Bacteria; Bacillati; Actinomycetota; Actinomycetes; Streptosporangiales; Thermomonosporaceae.